GACGAACGCUGGCGGCGUGCUUAACACAUGCAAGUCGAACGGUGAAGCGAGUGCUUGCACUCGUGGAUCAGUGGCGAACGGGUGAGUAACACGUGAGUAACCUGCCCAUCACUAUGGGAUAAGCACUGGAAACGGUGUCUAAUACUGGAUACGACCAACCAUGGCAUGGGGCGUUGGUGGAAAGAUUUAUCGGUGAUGGAUGGACUCGCGGCCUAUCAGCUUGUUGGCGGGGUAAUGGCCCACCAAGGCGACGACGGGUAGCCGGCCUGAGAGGGUGACCGGCCACACUGGGACUGAGAGACGGCCCAGACUCCUACGGGAGGCAGCAGUGGGGAAUAUUGCACAAUGGGCGAAAGCCUGAUGCAGCGACGCCGCGUGAGGGAUGACGGCCUUCGGGUUGUAAACCUCUUUCAGCAGGGAAGAAGCGCAAGUGACGGUACCUGCAGAAGAAGCACCGGCUAACUACGUG
Molecule: ribosomal RNA, 469 nt
Filed under: uncultured bacterium
Lineage: Bacteria
Description: partial 16S ribosomal RNA
Rfam family: Bacterial small subunit ribosomal RNA
Source: RNAcentral